This 759-nucleotide ribosomal RNA is filed under the name uncultured bacterium. RNAcentral's name for it is "bacterial SSU rRNA". It matches the Rfam family "Bacterial small subunit ribosomal RNA", at positions 28 to 776 of the family's 1533-position model. The record is from RNAcentral.
AUUGAACGCUGGCGGCCGGUCUAACACAUGCAAGUCGAACGGUAACAGGAAGAAGCUUGCUUCUUUGCUGACGAGUGGCGGACGGGUGAGUAAUGUCUGGGAAACUGCCUGAUGGAGGGGGAUAACUACUGGAAACGGUAGCUAAUACCGCAUAACGUCGCAAGACCAAAGAGGGGGACCUUCGGGCCUCUUGCCAUCGGAUGUGCCCAGAUGGGAUUAGCUUGUUGGUGGGGUAACGGCUCACCAAGGCGACGAUCCCUAGCUGGUCUGAGAGGAUGACCAGCCACACUGGAACUGAGACACGGUCCAGACUCCUACGGGAGGCAGCAGUGGGGAAUAUUGCACAAUGGGCGCAAGCCUGAUGCAGCCAUGCCGCGUGUAUGAAGAAGGCCUUCGGGUUGUAAAGUACUUUCAGCGGGGAGGAAGGGAGUAAAGUUAAUACCUUUGCUCAUUGACGUUACCCGCAGAAGAAGCACCGGCUAACUCCGUGCCAGCAGCCGCGGUAAUACGGAGGGUGCAAGCGUUAAUCGGAAUUACUGGGCGUAAAGCGCACGCAGGCGGUUUGUUAAGUCAGAUGUGAAAUCCCCGGGCUCAACCUGGGAACUGCAUCUGAUACUGGCAAGCUUGAGUCUCGUAGAGGGGGGUAGAAUUCCAGGUGUAGCGGUGAAAUGCGUAGAGAUCUGGAGGAAUACCGGUGGCGAAGGCGGCCCCCUGGACGAAGACUGACGCUCAGGUGCGAAAGCGUGGGGAGCAAACAGG